Molecule: ribosomal RNA, 437 nt
Filed under: uncultured Anaerosalibacter sp.
Lineage: Bacteria; Bacillati; Bacillota; Tissierellia; Tissierellales; Sporanaerobacteraceae
Description: partial 16S ribosomal RNA
Rfam family: Bacterial small subunit ribosomal RNA
Source: RNAcentral
ACGGAAGGCAGCAGUUAGGAAUAUUGGGCAAUGGAGGCAACUCUGACCCAGCAACGCCGCGUGAAGGAUGAAGGUCCUCGGAUUGUAAACUUCUGUAUUAAGGGAAGAAGAUAGUGACGGUACCUUAAUAGAAAGCUACGGCAAACUACGUGCCAGCAGCCGCGGUAAGACGUAGGUAGCAAGCGUUGUCCGGAAUAACUGGGCGUAAAGGGUGCGUAGGCGGUUUUUUAAGUCUGAUGUGAAAUCCUGCAGCUCAACUGUAGAACUGCAUUAGAUACUGGAGAACUGGAGUGCGGAAGAGGUUAACGGAAUUACUAGUGUAGCGGUAGAAUGCGUAGAUAUUAGUAAGAAGACCGGUGGCGAAGGCGGUUAACUGGGACGUAACUGACGCUGAGGCACGAAAGCGUGGGGAGCAAACAGGAUUAGAUACCCUGGUA